UUUGGGGGCCCUUAGUGGGUUUUGCAGCCUCCAGCCGUCAGAGGCAGCACCGAGCGCAAACGCACGCACCGGAUUCUCCACGCGUAAGCGUCACAACACCUUGUUUCUUAGGUGUUUCUUUGUUUUUUUGGAAAAAUCACUCGAGAAACUGUUGUUUUGUUGAUUUGCUUUUACACGAUCCCCCUCGCUCGCACGUGGCUGCCGCAACUAUCUCCACAUCCAUGGAUGGUUCCACUAAGAGUUGGAUCUUCCCGAUUUUCUCGAGGGGAACGUUCCCAGUCUACAUAAUACGCUCUAGUCACGCAAUGCUGUGUGUGCAAACCUCCAGCAACUGUUCAACCCCAGCACACAAGAAAGCCAUCAAGUACCUGCAAUUGACAGAAUCGCGUGCAAUUCAGUUACUCCUGGAUUGUACUGGAGCGCAGCCAAAUGGGGAGUUGUGGAAAAGGUGGAGUGGAGCCUCACCUGCUUCAAAUGAAACCCAGUCUCUCGUUGUGGACCAGACUCCAGUCCUUGUUUUAAGGUUUCAGGGAAGCUAUGAUUCCAGAAAUACAAGCAAGCCUGGAGGUGGUUAGGACAUGAAAGUGAGAUCUGAUGGAGGGACCAGGGACCAGGGACCAGCACCGAACUGGACCCUGAACGAGAACCAUCUUCUUUGAGUACUAGUAUUUUUUUUACGCACGGAUUCUGUGGACGCACCAAGGAGGAUUAACUACUGACAUAACAUCAGUGACCCGCGUGAAGUUAUUAUUAUUAUUUGUCAAAAAAACAACAACAACAAAACAAAACAAAAAGUGAUCACAAUGGCAACCGCUGCAGGAUUCUACAGUCGGCCUGUGUGUGAGGCUCGUCCUGGUGGAUUUAAGGAAAUACUUUGUCUCACGCGGGACGAGCGGUGUCUCUGUCUCUGUCUCCGGCUGCCCAGCGUCUGUCGCUGGACAAGCAGCGUGUCGGACAGACGAGUCUCUUGGGGGGAAGUUCACGCGUGUUCAUUUGCAGCCCAGUGUUACAGAGGGGCUCUGAUAUAGUUUUUGGAGAUGCGUCGAUUGUGGCACGCGAGAAGGAAUAUCGUGGAAUAUAUUUUGGAUGUGAUGCUCGGCAGAUGUUCAGCGAUCUUUGGAAGAUGACGGCACGCGACAACUCAUCAAACAGUGAAGGAAUCCAAAUUCCUGGAAUUAGACGUCAACCUUUACUUGCUUCACAGGAAUAUUCUGAUGAUCUCAGAUGAGCACCAAGAAGGGGCUGACUAAUGGAAACCCGAUCUCAAGAAAUUCAACAGGAUCACACUAAAUCCUGGCGUUGGACGGCAGACCAGCAUCCCCUGCAGCAGAUGUUUGCUCCUGGCAUAGCUGCUGACAACAGCAGCUCCAUCACUGACGACCUUGGACGCAGAGAAGCUCUGACAUAAUCUCAGCAGGACAGCAGAGAGGGUAUUCUGCCACUCAGACUUUAGUCAGUCCCAUUUGUGGAGAUGCUUGACAGGAAAGCCUAAUCAAUGAAUGUGCCUUAACCAACGUUGCUGGUAAUGGAUCUACAUAUUAUGUGACUUUGUCUCAAUGGAGCUGGGAUUAAUAUUUCCAAUUUUCCAGUAGCCAGUGCUUUUUCACACUGUUCAAACACGGUACUGUCGUUUGUGACAUUUACUGUGUUAUUCUGGGACAAGUAUCAACAAGUGCUGGAACUGUAAAUGGAAAAUAAUCAGACGGUACUUUCCUGUUUUCAGACUAUAUUUGCAAAGUGCCCUUUUGCUUACACCAAAGCAGGCGCGCACACAAGGUUUAUCUUGUGAAAAGAACAAUAAAUAUCUCCUGUGGUGUAAAACAAAUUGAUACUCCUUCAACCAAGAUUCCGCAGAUGCAUUACUGCACCUUAAUCGUCUGACAUCUUCUAAUGACAAUCACAAAGAACCCAUUAUCGUCGCAGUGUUAAUGAAUGCAAACCAAAAAACUCUCCUACCAACACUGCAUUUCAGUGUGACACAUUGGCACUCUGUGUGUGGUUAAUGAUCCUGUCAGUAUGCUUAUUUUGAUGAUGAUUUAUGGCUCCUCAACUCUUGUGUCUUUGAAAGCCUAUGUGCAGAAAUAAAAACACAAUAUCCAA
Molecule: long non-coding RNA, 2100 nt
Organism: Solea solea (common sole)
Lineage: Eukaryota; Metazoa; Chordata; Actinopteri; Pleuronectiformes; Soleidae
Exons: 7
Source: RefSeq, a predicted model, not a curated record